GACGAACCGUGCGAACGUUGUUCGGAUUCACUGGGCUUAAAGGGCGCGUAGGCGGGCCGGCCAGUCUGUGGUGAAAGCCCCCAGCUCAACUGGGGAAGUGCCGUGGAUACUGCCGGUCUGGAGGAGGGUAGGGGCAUCUGGAACGCUGGGUGGAGCGGUGAAAUGCGUUGAUAUCCAGCGGAACUCCGGUGGCGAAGGCGAGGUGCUGGACCCUUUCUGACGCUGAUGCGCGAAAGCUAGGGGAGCAAACGGG
This 253-nucleotide ribosomal RNA is filed under the name uncultured prokaryote. Its description in RNAcentral is "partial 16S ribosomal RNA". It matches the Rfam family "Bacterial small subunit ribosomal RNA", at positions 524 to 776 of the family's 1533-position model. The record is from RNAcentral.